Molecule: long non-coding RNA, 1635 nt
Filed under: Homo sapiens (human)
Lineage: Eukaryota; Metazoa; Chordata; Mammalia; Primates; Hominidae
Description: HSALNT0400007
Source: RNAcentral
UCUUGGGAGGAAAAUUGUGGGUGGGAAUGCCCCGAUGAUGGAUUCUCUAAUCAUGUGUAUGUUACCCAAGUUAACUUCCAUCCUGCCAUCAAGCUGGGAUUUGGUGCCUGUGGAAAUAUUAAGAGUAUCUGGAGCCACCUCCUCAAAAUCAUGAUGCUUCUUUUGCCUCUUAAAAUAAUCUACAGAAAUGGCAAUGAAAAUGAGAGUAGAUGCAUAAAGAGAAAAAGUUCUGGCGAGAGUUCCAGGUACCUUACAUGGAAGCAGCUGGGUAAACAGUGAUUUUGAGGCAUUAACACAUCAUAUUUGUACAGCAAUGAGAGUUUUGAAAAACAUUCAUCCUUCACACUCAAAGUGAAGCCAGACAUAACAUUUACUAAAAAGCAAGAGUCUAGUACAGUGUUGGAGAUGCAUCCUGCCUCGCCCAAAUUUCCAAAUGUUUGCUCCACUAUUCUUUACAAACAUCUCAAGGAAACUUCAACAACUUUUCAGCUUGUUUAAUGUUAAUGAAAGUGAAUAUCCCAAUGUUCUGAAAAAAGCAAAAACUGUCUUUCCAGCUGCUUGGCCUGAUGGAAGUAUAAAGGCGGGGAAGUGUUUCCAUAAGACCUGGAAGACAAGACAUAAUGUGGGGACACAAAGGCAGAUGAAGACUUAUUGCUCAUUCUUCUUUUUUCCACUUCCUGAAAUAGACAGUCCUUCCCUCCUGAUCCAAACCCGAUUCAUUGUGUCAUAUCUAACUAAAAUGGCACCUUUCCUAAGAGUGCUUGUUCUUUGUGACUCCAGGACGUUCUAUCAGCCAUUGUUGUGGAUACCCUUCCCCACACAUUUUAGAGCUCCAAGUACAGCACAGUGAUGGCAUUUCAUGCUCCUUGGAACCUGUGAGGUGGGUGCCACAUCGUCUUCACUUUUUGGAUGUGAAAGCUGAAGCUCAGAGGUCCUGUCACCAGUCUAUGUGUCAAGGUCAUACACAUCAGUUAGUGAACAGCCAGGGUCUGCAGCCUCACUGUCCAGCUUCGGGGGGCUCCACGCGGAAACUCCCUGCAGUUCUCUGUUCUCCGCGGUAACCUCACUCGUGGAUUCCUUUAAGGCCUAUUCUUUUAUCUUCAACUAAACCAUGAAUCCCUUGAUGACAGCUUUUGUCUUGUACUUUUUUUUACAUCUGGAUAGCCACUUCACAAAAGAAUACCUGCAGGAGUCUAUCAUACGUGCACUGAUUGAGAUGGAUCAUGUGAGGAUAUGUAAAACCAGAGACUCAAAAAAUAGCAAACUGAACAUUUAGAUAAGGAAUCAAGGUGAAGAUGGAUAAACAUGCAAGUUUGAAAGAAAGCAGGAACAAGGCAAUCCAACUUGUAUUUUCUGUAAGCUGGCGGCAGAACAUUUAACUGCCAGCUCCUGACAAGGUUUGGAAAACUCAUCAGUGGGAAAGCAGCCAAAACACUGCUCAAGCAUGGGUGGUCACCAGCAGCAAAGGAGGGAAAGCAAGCCAGAAAGAAAGAAGGAAAGAGAGAGUUUUUAUAUAAGUGCUUUCCCAUGAUGUUCUAGCUAUGUGCUUUACUAAAGCAGUGUAACUGUCACCAUCCUGCUGAAAGCUCAAAUUAAGGUGAUGCAAUGAGGAAGCAUUUCAUAUUAAUAACGGCA